This 500-nucleotide ribosomal RNA is filed under the name uncultured bacterium. Its description in RNAcentral is "partial 16S ribosomal RNA". It matches the Rfam family "Bacterial small subunit ribosomal RNA", at positions 30 to 523 of the family's 1533-position model. The record is from RNAcentral.
AUUGAACGCUGGCGGAAUGCUUUACACAUGCAAGUCGAACGGCAGCACGGACUUCGGUCUGGUGGCGAGUGGCGAACGGGUGAGUAAUGUAUCGGAACGUGCCCAGUCGUGGGGGAUAACGUAGUGAAAAUUACGCUAAUACCGCAUACGAUCUAUGGAUGAAAGCGGGGGAUCGCAAGACCUCGCGCGAUUGGAGCGGCCGAUAUCAGAUUAGGUAGUUGGUGGGGUAAAGGCCCACCAAGCCAACGAUCUGUAGCUGGUCUGAGAGGACGCACAGCCACACUGGAAAUGAGACACGGUCCAGACUCCUACGUGAGGCAGCAGAGGGGAAUUUUGGACAAUGGGCGAAAGCCUGAUCCAGCCAUUCCGCGUGCAGGAUGAAGGCCCGCGGGUUGUAAACUGCUUUUGUACAGAACGAAAAGGUUUCUACUAAUACUAGGAGCUCAUGACGGUACUGUAAGAAUAAGCACCGGCUAACUACGUGCCAGCCGCCGCAGUAA